Molecule: ribosomal RNA, 433 nt
Filed under: uncultured bacterium
Lineage: Bacteria
Description: partial 16S ribosomal RNA
Rfam family: Bacterial small subunit ribosomal RNA
Source: RNAcentral
AACGAACGCUGGCGGCAUGCCUAACACAUGCAAGUCGAACGAUGCCUUCGGGCGUAGUGGCUCACGGGUGCGUCACGCGUGGGAAUCUGCCUUUCUGCUCGGAAUAACUCAGGGACACUUGGGCUAAUACCGGAUAACUUCGCCUAACCAAAGAUUUAUCCCCCAAAGAUGAGCCCGCGUAGGAUUAGCUAGUUGGUGAGGUAAAGGCUCACCACGGCUACGAUCCUUAGCUGGUCUGAGAGGAUGAUCAGCCACACUGGGACUGAGACACGGCCCAGACUCAUACGGGAGGCAGGAGUGGGGAAUAUUGGAAAACGGGGGAAAGGAUGAACCAGCAAGGCUGGGAGAGUGAUGAAGGCCUGAGGGUUGUAAAGCUCUUUUACCCGGGAAGAUAAUGACGGUACCGGGAGAAUAAGCCCCGGCUAACUCCGUG